UGGGGAAUAUUGGACAAUGGGGGCAACCCUGAUCCAGCCAUGCCGCGUGAGUGAUGAAGGCCUUCGGGUUGUAAAGCUCUUUUGGCGGGGACGAUGAUGACGGUACCCGCAGAAUAAGCCCCGGCUAACUUCGUGCCAGCAGCCGCGGUAAGACGAAGGGGGCUAGCGUUGUUCGGAAUUACUGGGCGUAAAGCGAGUGUAGGCGGUUGCCGUAGUCAGGUGUGAAAGCCUUGAGCUCAACUCAAGAAAUGCACUUGAUACUGGGUGACUAGAGGACCGGAGAGGAUAGUGGAAUUCCCAGUGUAGUGGUGAAAUACGUAGAGAUUGGGAAGAACACCAGUGGCGAAGGCGGCUAUCUGGACGGUUACUGACGCUAAGACUCGAAAGCGUGGGGAGCAAACAGGAUUAGAUACCCUGGUAGUCCACGCCGUAAACGAUGGGUGCUAGACGUUGGCGAGCUUGCUCGUCAGUGUCGCAGCUAACGCGUUAAGCACCCCGCCUGGGGAGUACGGCCGCAAGGUUGAAANUCAAAUGAAUUGACGGGGUCAUAGCUG
RNAcentral lists this ribosomal RNA (554 nucleotides) under uncultured bacterium. RNAcentral's name for it is "partial 16S ribosomal RNA". It matches the Rfam family "Bacterial small subunit ribosomal RNA", at positions 355 to 932 of the family's 1533-position model. The record is from RNAcentral.